This 570-nucleotide ribosomal RNA is filed under the name Triticum aestivum (bread wheat). RNAcentral's name for it is "partial small subunit ribosomal RNA". Lineage: Eukaryota; Viridiplantae; Streptophyta; Magnoliopsida; Poales; Poaceae. The record is from RNAcentral.
AUGCCUGGGAUGAAGCCAAGCGCAAGCACUAUGUUCACAAGCGUGACUACGCUGAGCCUGAAUGUGCGUUUAGGAGUCCAUGAUGAAGCCAAGAUGGUGGCCACUUUCCUGAAGUGCUUUCCUAAUGUGUCGUGUCUGCAUAUCAGGUGUGAAAGAUGUGAUGAACCCACUGGCAAGCUCGAACUUAAUAAGUUCUGGGAUGAGGUUGGCCCAAUCGUGAGCAUUAUGUUGCGCGUCGAGAUUAUGACUAUCCGUGAAUUGAGAGGGGAGGAAGGCGAGAUGGCUUUUCUCAAGUACUUCCUGCAGAACGCAAGGGUGCUGAGGCAUGCGGUGUUCAUCUUCCCCAAUCCUGAUUUAUCUUCAAUUUCAAGGGCGAAAGGGCGCUCCAUAGCGGGGAAUCUGACUAAUCUGACAUGGGGCAGUACUAAAGUCUGCGGAUUCAUGGCGUAUGGGAGUUCAGAUCCUGAAGGAGGCAGGCCAUGGUGCUUCAAAACCGGAGCAGAUUUUUCUCGUGACCCUUUUUUGCUGGUGAAGUUAAGAGCAGCAACAUGUUUCAUCAUCCAAGCUUAA